This 254-nucleotide ribosomal RNA is filed under the name uncultured bacterium. RNAcentral describes it as "partial 16S ribosomal RNA". It matches the Rfam family "Bacterial small subunit ribosomal RNA", at positions 524 to 776 of the family's 1533-position model. The record is from RNAcentral.
UACGUAGGGUGCAAGCGUUGUCCGGAAUUAUUGGGCGUAAAGAGCUCGUAGGCGGCCUGUCGCGUCGGAUGUGAAAGCCCGGGGCUUAACCCCGGGUCUGCAUUCGAUACGGGCAGGCUAGAGUGUGGUAGGGGGAGAUCGGAAUUCCUGGUGUAGCGGUGAAAUGCGCAGAUAUCAGGAGGAACACCGGUGGCGAAGGCGAGUCCCUGGACAACUCCUGACACUGAGGCACGAAAGCUAGGGGAGCAAACAGG